AUGCAGGAGGGGUGCGACAACAACACAGUGAUGCCUCCAAGAAGGUCAAGGACGCCCGCAGCCGUCGACACCGCUGGUCACAAGCCCAAGGCCGAGACAGGGUCUUCACCCAUGCUCCCAACAUCAGCCACAUAUCAACCCGGACCGGCGCAGGCAAGCCCACCAAUGAAGAAGCCUAUCGAUGAAGGAGCACAGAGAAGCCGCCGCAGCCAACCGCACCUUGCUGAGACCACCGGCGGCCAAUCACCAGCACCACCCACCGGAUCCAUCAACUACCAACCAGAACCAGGGCCAUCGGACAUAGCAUGA
This 309-nucleotide ribosomal RNA is filed under the name Triticum aestivum (bread wheat). RNAcentral describes it as "partial small subunit ribosomal RNA". The record is from RNAcentral. Lineage: Eukaryota; Viridiplantae; Streptophyta; Magnoliopsida; Poales; Poaceae.